Molecule: microRNA, 22 nt
Filed under: Medicago truncatula (barrel medic)
Lineage: Eukaryota; Viridiplantae; Streptophyta; Magnoliopsida; Fabales; Fabaceae
Description: mtr-miR5211
Source: miRBase by way of RNAcentral
UCGCAGGAGUGAUGGGACCGGC